Long non-coding RNA from Camelus dromedarius (Arabian camel), 1586 nucleotides. Lineage: Eukaryota; Metazoa; Chordata; Mammalia; Artiodactyla; Camelidae. The record is from Ensembl.
CUGGGCUCCAUCGCCAGGACCUCCGUCGAAAGAAAGAAGCUACGUGCGAACCUAAAAUACCUCAAGACCCUAGGUCCAGAUACCACGUGCAGUACUGCUUGCUUUCCUUUUGCCCGCUGUCUUCACACGUACCCCAAACACGACCAGGUUUUUCCCUCGAAAAAUUCUUCAGUCCUCUGAAGUUCUUCUGGGCCCCGUUAGUUCACGGAAAGAUGUUGAGGGGGUUAGACUUCAGGUGUGCGGACAGUUCAAGUGUAGUGCUGUCGCUAACGUCUGUGUGCCUGCACCCUCUAGGUGACACGUGGCCCUUAAGCUCGGGACAAGAGGAAGACGUGGAGUCCCCUGACGAGGAGGAAGGGGCGCCCGAGCCAGAAACCGAACGGGAAGACACCCGUCCUGAGGCGAACGUAGCUGACGAAGGUGCUCCGGAGGAGCCAACCGAGGACGAGACAUUGACGUCUGCGCUCGCAGCAGACCAGCCUGACGUGUCCGGUGACACGUGGCCCUUAAGCUCGGGACAAGAGGAAGACGUGGAGUCCCCUGACGAGGAGGAAGUUUCAACGCAGUCAGAAAGUGCAGUGGAAUAUUAUACUGAAUACUUUGCAGAUGCUACUGAGGAACCAGCUGUGCAGGAGAAGAUCACAUUUGAUGAAGGGAUUUUAAUGUUUAUAUUAUUGUUUUGUAGCUUUUGUGUGAUUUUUAUUGUAUUAUAUAAAUCUACCCUUGAUGAGAUAUGGCGGGGUUAAUUGGUAUAUACUGCGUUGUAUCCAUUUGUUAAUUGUUUCCCCCUCGAUUCAUUAAACCCGUCUUUAUAGCUCAAAAAUAUGUGAUUUGUAUUUGUAUAGAUUGUGUUUGGGUUCUUAACCUAUGUUUUCUCUUAUUUCAGAAGUAUUUGUCAUCCUGUUUCUAUUGGUUUUUUUUUUUAUAAGUGUAUAUGUUAAUUUUUACAGUGAUUCUGACAAAAAUAUUUGAUUAAAAGGAAUAGUGUGUUGGUUUUUGUUAUUUUUUCUGUUUUCAUCUCUUGAACUUUUAAAACAUGUUCUUGCUUCCUUCGAAAUGUUGUAUUUUCAAGUAGAGCUGCAGGGACAUUGCAGGAGAACGAACAGCAUGGUAAGCAGUAUGAAAUACGUUACGUUCUUAUACCAUCAGUUGAUUCAGUUGUGCUCUAUUCAGGGCCAUCCCUGAUUCUAGGAAUGGAUUCUAUUCCUCAAACUGCGUGAGCAGUAUGCACUGUUUCCUGUUUUAAAAUAUAUCUACCCACCCCAUCCCGCAUCUCAAGUGUUUUCUCACCCUUUAUGCACUGUUCUUUACUCAUUUGAAUUGUCAAUGGGGCCCCACUGCAGAUUUCCAGGGGCCUUUCUGUGGUCCGCUCCCUCCUCGCCAGCCCUCUCUUGUCUGAUCUCUUAUCUGCGUUGGUUUUGUCUGACUCUCUGCUUCAUCACCUCGACUGAGGGUGUCUGGUGGGCCCUCCUACCUCUGUUCCCUGUCCCUGUGUCACAGCCUGCAUAUUCUCCCAAGGCCGUGCACUGGGGCGUCCAUUAGACUCACUUCAUGUGUGUUUAGGGAUCACUGUCCUUCAUUGUCUG